Molecule: ribosomal RNA, 175 nt
Filed under: uncultured bacterium
Lineage: Bacteria
Description: partial 16S rRNA
Rfam family: Bacterial small subunit ribosomal RNA
Source: RNAcentral
CCUACGGGAGGCAGCAGUGGGGAAUAUUGCACAAUGGGAGAAAGCCUGAUGCAGCGACGCCGCGUGAGGGAUGACGGCCUUCGGGUUGUAAACCUCUUUCAGCAGGGACCAAGCGUGAGUGACGUGUACCUGCAGAAGAAGCACCGGCUAACUACGUGCCAGCAGCCGCGGUAAU